RNAcentral lists this ribosomal RNA (403 nucleotides) under uncultured bacterium. RNAcentral's name for it is "partial 16S ribosomal RNA". It matches the Rfam family "Bacterial small subunit ribosomal RNA", at positions 29 to 526 of the family's 1533-position model. The record is from RNAcentral.
AUUGAACGCUGGCGGCAGGCCUAACACAUGCAAGUCGAGCGAGCGGCGGACGGGUGAGUAAUGUAUGGGGACUGCCCGAUCGAGGGGGAUAACUACUGGAAACGGUGGCUAAUACCGCAUACUAUCGGAUAACCCAUAUGGGAUUAGCUAGUAGGUGGGGUAAAGGCUCACCUAGGCGACGAUAUCUAGCUGGUCUGAGAGGAGGAUGAGCAACACGGGGACUGAGAAACGGCCCAGAAUCCUACGGAGGCAGCAGUGGGGAAUAUUGCACAAUGGGGGCAAGCCUGAUGCAGACAUGCCGCGGGGAGGAAGAAGGCCUUAGGGUUGUAAAGUACUUUCAGCGGGGAGGCGUUACCCGAAGAAGAAGCACCGGCUAACUCCGUGCCAGCAGCCGCGGUAAUUC